UACGGAGGGUGCGAGCGUUGUCCGGAAUCACUGGGCGUAAAGGGCGCGUAGGCGGCUCAUGAAGGCUGUGGUGAAAGUCCGGGGCUCAACCUGGGAAUGGCGAUGGAUACUGGCGGGCUAGAGUGCGGUAGAGGAGAGUGGAAUUCCCGGUGUAGCAGUGAAAUGCGUAGAGAUCGGGAGGAACAUCAGUUGCGAAGGCGGCUCUCUGGACCAGCACUGACACUGAGGCACGAAAGCGUGGGGAGCAAACAGG
Molecule: ribosomal RNA, 253 nt
Filed under: uncultured bacterium
Lineage: Bacteria
Description: partial 16S ribosomal RNA
Rfam family: Bacterial small subunit ribosomal RNA
Source: RNAcentral